GGGUAUAGCUCAAUGUAGAGCGCAUGCUUAGCAUGGACAAGAUCCUGGGUUCAAUCCCCAGUACCUCCA
RNAcentral lists this transfer RNA (69 nucleotides) under Camelus bactrianus (Bactrian camel). It matches the Rfam family "tRNA". From Rfam's summary of the family: Transfer RNA (tRNA) molecules are approximately 80 nucleotides in length. Their secondary structure includes four short double-helical elements and three loops (D, anti-codon, and T loops). Lineage: Eukaryota; Metazoa; Chordata; Mammalia; Artiodactyla; Camelidae. The record is from Rfam by way of RNAcentral. RNAcentral also lists the same sequence under 1 other name.